GUGUCAGCAGCCGCGGUAACACGUAGGGACCGAGCGUUGUCCGGAUUUAUUGGGCGUAAAGAGCUCGUAGGCUGUUGCGUAAGUCGGAUGUGAAAACUCAGGGCUCAACCCGGAGACGCCAUCCGAUACUGCGCUGACUAGAGUCCGGUAGGGGAGCAUGGAAUUCCUGGUGUAGCGGUGAAAUGCGCAGAUAUCAGGAGGAACACCAGUGGCGAAGGCGGUGCUCUGGGCCGGUACUGACGCUGAGGAGCGAAAGCAUGGGGAGCAAACAGG
RNAcentral lists this ribosomal RNA (273 nucleotides) under uncultured prokaryote. RNAcentral's name for it is "partial 16S ribosomal RNA". It matches the Rfam family "Bacterial small subunit ribosomal RNA", at positions 505 to 776 of the family's 1533-position model. The record is from RNAcentral.